This 431-nucleotide ribosomal RNA is filed under the name uncultured prokaryote. Its description in RNAcentral is "bacterial SSU rRNA". It matches the Rfam family "Bacterial small subunit ribosomal RNA", at positions 25 to 458 of the family's 1533-position model. The record is from RNAcentral.
CAGGAUGAACGCUGACAGAAUGCUUAACACAUGCAAGUCGAUUCGAUUUACCUUCGGGUAUUGAGGAUGGCGGACGGGUGAGUAACGCGUAAGGAACUUGCCUCUUGGUCUGGGACAACUGUUGGAAACGACAGCUAAUACCGGAUAUUAUGAGAUUCUCGCAUGGGAAACUUAUGAAAGCUAUAUGCGCCAAGAGAGAGCCUUGCGUUCCAUUAGCUAGUUGGUGGGGUAACGGCCCACCAAGGCGACGAUGGAUAGCCGGCCUGAGAGGGUGAACGNCCACAAGGGGACUGAGACACGGCCCUUACUCCUACGGGAGGCAGCAGUGGGGAAUAUUGGACAAUGGACCAAAAGUCUGAUCCAGCAAUUCUGUGUGCACGAUGAAGGUCUUCGGAUUGUAAAGUGCUUUCAGUUGGGAAGAAGAAAGUGNC